CUCAUUCUUAACUUAAGGAAGGGUUUCCAUUGUGAAACCCUAGCCGCCACUAGGAGACUUCUCUCUCCUCGGUCAUGUAUGCUUGAAAAUGGCAAAGUUUCAGAGUGUGGCAGGUUUUCUCAAUCAUGGUAUGCCGAUUUUGGGCAAAGCAUUAAUUGCUUUGCCCUCUCUCCACCAUAUCGCAACCAAACAGGUUGUGAGGUUGAGGAGCAAAAGGGGUCUCCAAAGGUCUAUUCUCGAUGACGGGCUGCACUUCAAAAAGUUAAUUCCCUUUCCUUUUAGUUAUAUUUCCUAUUAUUUAGUAUUCAUGUUUAAAACUGCCUUCAUGUGAGUUUAUUUUCUACUUUUGUAUGGUUAAUCUUAGUUUCAUUUUGCUUUAGUAUAUUCUGUGAUUAAUUAACUGUUUAAUCAUGUAGCUUAGAUAGAUUAUAUUGUUAGCGUAGAUUAGCUGUUUGCUAAAUUCUAUUUAUAUAAAAUUAGGUAUUUAUGGCUAGUAUUAAUCCUGCUAUAUGCUUUAGUUAGGAGUAAGGGUGCAUAGUAUCUAUUGGUCAUGUCCAAAUUUAGAAUCAGCUUGAUAAUCAUGCCUAAAUGCUUGCUACGCCUGAGAUAAGUUGGUUUCUGUUGAUGUGUCAAAGCGUAUACUUGUUCAAGAUCAGUUAACUUGUAAUAUGUUAAUCCUAUAUAAAAGUAUCUGCCUAGUUUAUGGUUCAUGGAGUCAUGAAUGUUGAUCCUGCCUGUCCUUCAAGCUGUCUAAGUUUCAAUUGGUUUAUGGUUUUCUAAUCAUGUUCAUGCCCUUAACUGAUUAUCAAAUAUUGUUUGGUAUGUGUUUGUCUCAUACAAGCCUGUUGAAUCACGGUUGGUAGUUGAUUGAGUUUGGUUUGUACAUUUAACUAAACCUUGUCUCUAGUUGAGUUUGAUUUUACUUAAAAGAGGCCAUAUACAUCACAAACCCUCAGCCAUUUGACAGCCCUUGCUUGUGUGCUUGCUUAAUUGUGCCGUUCUAUUCUGAGUGUUUAGUGGACAUACUAAUUAUAUUAUGAGAACCAGUAGAAUAUUAUGUCCUUAGAAUUGGGUCUGUCUAAGAGUAAAAAGUGAUAUCCUGUUUACCUGUUUAAAUGCUGAUGUUGAAGCUCUUGUUUGCCUCUACUUAUGGUCUGUCUAUGCUAUUUGUACUUAAAAACUUGGGGUCUUCAAAAAAAAAAAUCUUUUCUUUGAAAUACUUACACCCGGUCUACUCAUAGUCAAGUUUGUUAUACUUGUGUAAAUAAAAUAAGAUUUGUAAAUCAUCAACAAGAGGUGUUCAUUUGAAUAUGAAGGAUCAUAGGUGUGACUUACCUAGGACCAAGAAAAGGGGAUAAGACUUAGAGUUUCUAACCAAACUCGGUCAAUUCUCUCUUUAUUUUGAUUGCUGGGGUUCCCCUAUAUGAAACUAUAUACUAUGAAACCCUCAAAAAUGAAGAAGAGGAUCAGUAUGCUUAGACUAUUCCAAUUGGUAGAAGCAGUUUCUUUUUAUUUACUUUCUUUUGCAAAACCUAAAUUUAUUUAUUUUUUGUUAUCUCAAGAGUGUGGAAAUAUGUGUUUAUGGACUGUGUGCUUGAAAUUUGCUAAGUGGUUAUCUUACUAAGCUUGGUGUCCAUGAAAGUCAAUAUGCCUUUUCCUUUUAUGUAUUGUUGACAUAUGUGUUGUUAUACUAGGUGUAUACCGAAUAUACAUGACUUGACUUGUAUACACCAUAGUGUAGACAAGGAAGUAUAUUUUGUAUACCCUUUGAGUAAAUUCUGAGACUUGACAUUCAUGCUAAGUUUGGGCCAAAUCUGUCCUCACCUUAGACAUUCACUUUGUGGGCCUGCACUACUCUUAACACUGUUUAGUUUCAAUACUCGAUUUAUUUCGGUCUAAACCAUGACUGUUCCUUUUUGGGCUUUGAGUAAAUUAUUUGUUCAACUGGUGGAAUUUGUUAAGGGUAUAUAUAUAUAUAUAUAUUGACUGCGUAUGUAUAUCUGUGUAUCCAUGUUUGCUUCAAUGUUCACUUAGUCUUUAAAUUUCUUCUUAUUCGCAUAAUAUAGUUUAGAUACUUUCUAACCCAUUACCUUCUUUUUUUCCCCCUUUUAUGGCAUGGAAUUAUUUCUUGGGCCGACUACUCGUUGCAUAAAUCUAUUGGGCUUGAGGCCGAACAUCCUUCUCUUGAUCGAGUCCGAUUGUAGAAAAAUAAGGAAAGCUAAUAUUUGCAUUUGAAGGACCAGUUAUGGGUGAAAAUUACACUGAUGGGCUUGGGUAGGCCCAUCAGUUAAAAUUUUACUUUCUUCCCUUCUCUAUUCCAUAUAUACCUAGCAUGUAUAUAUUGUAUAUGUACUAAAUGUGUAAAUAAUGAAACCCUUGUGCAUGCUAGAACUUAGGAGGAACACAUAGUAUUUUUAGGUAGUCGCCAAAGCUUUUUUCAAACUCGGAUAAUGAUCAAUUUUUGCGUGAAAUCGAAACUUGGUUUGAUUUUGGGUUUAAAAUUGGUGUAAUACUAUGGCUAAGUGUAUGAUAAAAAUGGAGUUUUGGUUAAGUCUAAAACUGGAUCAAUGCAAAAAGGAUUUUCAAAUUUUAAGUAACAAGUUUUGGGCUUUAAACCCGAGAUGAAAAAAUGAUAAAACGGUUUGACGGGUUCACCUAAAAUGGAGACGAAGCUAGGAGAAGAGUUUGACUUCAAAAAUUGGCAUUUUUCGUAUACCAAAAGAACAAUUUUCUGGACUUAAAUUGAUUUGUAAAUGAAAAACUUUGGACAAAAACUAGAAUUUUGACUCAUGGAACCUCUUAAAAAAUGAGACUGUUGUUUGGGACUGGAAGCCCAAAACUUAUUGGGCUGAAAAAACAAAGGAAUUUAUUGGACUGGCUUGAGGUCAAGACGGAUUUAGACUUAGAAUAUGGACUGAUUAUAUGAGCUUCAAUGAUAAAAUUAGACUUAAAUAAACACUUGUGCUUUCUUUAUAUAUAUACGUGCAAAAAUCGGAGAUAUACUCCAUAUUUUUCUAUAUAUAUGUAUAAUAAAACCCAUAAGAACUAAACUCAUUUUAUUAAGACUAGAAUAGUAGUGACUCUACUCGGGAGAAAUCCCGGGUGUGUCCUAGUCCGGCAAUAAAGUGAGUUGAACACUUUCGCAGAUUUUUAAACCCAAAACCCCCUUUUUAAAGGGGACUUUUUGCCAAAAAAUUUCUCGAGUUUAUGAUACAAAUGAAUGAAUUUUUUUUUUCCGGAAAACUAAACACUUUUAAGCAAAUAAAUUCAUUUAAUCACACAUUGAAGCCCGUAGGUCAACUGUAUUCUACGGAUCUUUAAUACUAGGGUGCGUAAAACCUUCCCUAGGGGAUCACCAGAACCCUUACCUCGAACUUUGGUACCAAAAGAUUUCUCUCUUGCUUGAAAAAUCUUUUACCCGGUUUUCCUAGUUUUCCUUUAAUAAAUUAGGUGGCGACUCUAAAAAUACUAAAAUCCAAUUAGAGCACCAACAACCUCAUAGUAGCUUUUAUGCCUUAAGUCGCGUAAAAAUGAACCGUAACAUAUAUAACUUACAUGUUACAAUUAUAAAAUCCAUACUGAUCAUUCCUUCAUUCCUCAACAACAUAUCCAUAUGUUACUUCAGUCUCUAGGCUUCUGUUUAUUUAUUAACUAGCCACGAAAUCUGUGACAUUUCCUUUUUAUCAAUCCACUAAGGUCAUGAUACAUCUUUGUUGCCUCCAAAUAGAUCAUCUACCCUUACUACAUUUAACAUAAAGUUGGUUUUGAUAUCUUAGGAAUCCUUCUUGCUAAGAUACACUUUUCCUGAAUCCUCUUUCGAGUUUUGGUUUAAGAGAUAUACCAUCUCUAGGCUACUAUGUCUUUACUCAAGUUUUCCCAACAUAUAUCAUAUUUUCCUAUUGCUAUUCUUCACUACGCCACGCUCACCAGUUGAAGCUCUAUAGUGAUCUUGGCAAGCUUCUCAUAUACUUAUAUCAUCUCUGUGGUAUAUAAUUCCAUAUCCUUCUGUUACCUUCCAGAAUGAAUAAAUCCAUUUCGGUGCUAGGUCUAUCCUUAUUCAUCUUAAUGCAAUGAAGCUAUCUUACACGAACUUACUCCUUAUUUAGGUCCAUCUUAUUCCAUUUACUUACAACGCGACUUUAAUUCCUUUACAUCCUGAGUAUUCUAUGCUGGAAAUUCUCAUAUCAUCUAUAAGCUUUGGCUUCCAGAUAAUCAUACACAUUUAUUCUUUUUCAUCGUAGGCUGCUACUGUCAAGUACUUGCAUGCCUUCAAAUAGUUCAUUUCCAUUUCAAUCCUCUUCUAUUGUUAACUCUGCAUCUUUCCCUCAACAAAGACGUUACUAGAUCCCGACCCGAAUACCUUUGCCUUUAAGGCUUUCCCUGUACAAUACUUUCCUAACCGGUAUGCGAUGUUGGAACUUCGUAUCCAUAUGACUAGCUCGCGGUAGCUAUUUCGCUUAACUUCUUAUCUUAGUCCCUUAUUUACUUCUAGUGUCGUCAUACUCAAUCCUUCUCUGUUUCUCCAGUACUGAACUUCCUAUUACACCCUUAUGUUGAAACUUUAAGUAAUUCCUUCCUUAAAGUGCUAUCUUCCAAUCUUUACCUUAAUAUGCAUAUGACUGACUGGUCAUGUUUAUCGUCAAAUCGUCCUUAUACCUUAUCGGCCUGCUAGCGUAAUAUCCCUUUGAGGUAGUUUCCAAUUGCUUUGUUAUUAUCUUUCCAUCUUCUAACGAGGCAUACCCCAAAUCCUAUACCUGUCGUCUUGUCUUCCCUCCUUAAGAUGUUAACCUGCUACUCUAUAUUUGACAUUCCAUUUAACUCUCCUUUUUAUGGCUAGUAUUUACUCCCAGUAAUUUCUGCGACCAAUCUUAACCAUAACUGUUCGUCUUCUAAGUCUAUCUGGUCAGUUGCAUGCACAUAUAAAGGGUCACAUAUUUUCAUAGAUGUACUGGUCUUGGAUGGCCUAAUAUUUCAUCGAAGAGAUCUUCAAAAAUUUUCCUUACCGUCUUCCAGCAAUCAUCUUUUUUCUAUUACUUGUUCACCCACCCAAUCACUGCAAUGGUAUCUAGCACAAGAGUCUCUUCUCAAAAAUCUGCCCAAAUUGUUAACGUUCCUUCUUUUCUUUGUUACAUCAAUGCUCAUUCUUUUGACAGGUCUCUUUUGGACUACAAGUUCGUCUCAUCAGUGAAAGGCAUAUCUUAUAUCAACUUGCGACUUCAUACUCAUUCAUUUCCCAUCAUACAGUUAAUUCUUCAAGAAUAUCUCUCGCUUCCUUCAUUAACUAUUCGGCCUUGUAUUACUAGCUCAAUAAUCCUGUGAUGGUAAAACUUCUGGAGGGAAAUUUUUAGUACCUUUGUC
Molecule: long non-coding RNA, 5358 nt
Organism: Lycium ferocissimum
Lineage: Eukaryota; Viridiplantae; Streptophyta; Magnoliopsida; Solanales; Solanaceae
Exons: 2
Source: RefSeq, a predicted model, not a curated record